GUUUUUAGCACAAAGCCCAGUUCAUGAGUAGAGGUUUCGAUGAGGAAUCUUGGCCAUGUACUGAGAGUUGUGCUAAACACAUCUUGAGUUCUUUGCCACCAAGGCGUUGUUAUUCUUCUCUGGAUUAUGAAAAUAAAGAGCUAAUGUGGUAAUAUCUCAUGAUAGCAAUUAACUGAUGUAGCAAAUGUCAUGGUUAACAGUUUUAGAUAAACAACCUAUCGUGGCCAUACAAAGACCUGCUGUUCCUACAUUAAACUCGUUGGUGUGUUCCGCAUCAGCCCAGUGUUGCCAGCCAACUAUCCGCUUCAGCAGAUCAGCAAUUAAUGCACAGAAGACCAUGGUCUUUCUGUCUCUGAAUCUCUGACCCAACGUGCGUACAGUGACAGAAUAUUUGUCAAAGUUAAUUUGAUGGCAAAACGUUCCUUGUUGUUCAUUUGU
Molecule: long non-coding RNA, 438 nt
Organism: Amblyraja radiata (thorny skate)
Lineage: Eukaryota; Metazoa; Chordata; Chondrichthyes; Rajiformes; Rajidae
Exons: 3
Source: RefSeq, a predicted model, not a curated record